GACAGAGGGUGCAAACGUUGUUCGGAUUUACUGGGCGUAAAGCGCGUGUAGGCGGCUUGGCAAGUCGGAUGUGAAAGCCCACGGCUCAACCGUGGAAGCGCAUCCGAAACUGCUUCGCUCGAGUCUCGGAGAGGAAGGUGGAAUGCUUGGUGUAGAGGUGAAAUUCGUAGAUAUCAAGCAGAACACCUGCGGCGAAGGCGGCCUUCUGGAUGAUGACUGACGCUGAGACGCGAAAGCGUGGGGAGCAAACAGG
RNAcentral lists this ribosomal RNA (253 nucleotides) under uncultured bacterium. RNAcentral's name for it is "partial 16S ribosomal RNA". It matches the Rfam family "Bacterial small subunit ribosomal RNA", at positions 524 to 776 of the family's 1533-position model. The record is from RNAcentral.